AGGAGCGACGGCCGGUCUACGCACGACCACAACCACCACAACCACUUGGUCAGGAGGGGCGCUCAACGGGUCGUCGGCGCCGCGCUGUGGUUGUGGCGCCGCCAUGGCUUAAUCAAUCGGCCGGCGCGAUGUAUGCUGGAGAUUAUCAAAUUGAAUCAAGGGAGAAAACCAACAGCAAGGAAGUGCGAGAUUUGGGGCGGCCGUCUGCCUAGUAUAUGUACUGUCGAUACUAGCGGGCCGAUCGUCCCGUCUGAGAAGACCGCAUCUGACUCGCUCGUCUGCGUGCAAGGAACCCAAAAACUGAACCGAGCUUACUAAAAAUCCUGCAAAAUCAAUCGCCUGCAGGAACUGUCCAUGUAAAGCUAGCUAGGAACUUUCCAUGUAAUAAAGCCAGGAACUGUGCAUGUAUUUAGAAUCAAAACCCAUAUCGCCAAUUCUCUUCCGCGCCCGCGCAUUUUCUGGCUCCGUGCGGUGCUCACUUCGGUGACAACGAACCUUAUCCAGUCAGUCGUUAUCUCACCAAGCGCACUCCCUCCUUCCUUUCUCUCCUGCCGGCUGCCGCGCACCUUGCGCCCCCGCUCCUCCCGAGCCCCUCCCCUUCCUCUUCUCUCCUGCCCUUCACCCCUCCCCUCUCCCCCCAACCCGCCUAGAUCUCGAGCGCCGGCGGCAGGGGGCCUGGUCCGCUCGUCGGUGCGCCCCCCGAGAGCUCGAGUACCGCCGGCCUGGUCCGCUCGUUGGCGUGGCCGCGCGCCGCCGGCUGGUCCUCUCUUCGGCCGCGGCACGGAGACGCUCAGAGCUCGAGCUCCUCUGGCGGCGGCAUGGUCCGCUCGUCGGCGCGGCCGCGGUGGAAGCAGCAGGGGCUGGCCCUGUACUCGUGACCAGUCUCUACCAACGGGAGCGCCGGGUCCCCGUCCAGCUGCAGCGAGCAGCACAACCCCGCCUUCAUCGUUGUGGGGGCGAUCCCCGAAGCGGCGACGGCAUCCACGACCGCCAGCGAGGACACCUUGUUCCGUCUCAACAACCUCGACAUCAACGACGACGACGCCCCUUAGUCACAGGCUCCGCAAAAGGCCCCUUCUUAUUGAUGAUCUGAGAUGAUUGUUGCAUCGUUAACAAGAAGGGGAAUAAUGCUAGGGAGGAGGAGAAUCAGCCCACGAACUAGGAUUAGAAAAGUUUGCAAGUCUCGCGACUUCAUGAGCCACCUUACUUGCCUCCCGAUUGCAAUGUUCAAAAGACACCUUCACGAAAUCUGCCAUGAGGUGAAACCAAUCCUUGAAAAUGUCUGCACAGCUGCUGUAACUCCUUUCUUCAUUGCACAAAGUGUUAAUGACCUGACUAUCAUUAGAGUUCAAGACCACCCUACUGCAGCCCAGAUUGAUCGCAAGCUGAAGCCCCAGUUUAGCCGCACACACCUCUGCCAUAUCUAAGUUGCUUUUUCAACGAAAGAAGAUUUUGGAGAUUGCAGUUGGUGUUGGUCACGUGUAUGCUGAUCCCUAGAGUUUUUGGUGUUUUUUCUGCUAAUCUGCUGCUCUGUAGUGUCGUCUACUAGUCUAUGAUGAGAUGAUCGAUGCUUUGUUAUUCUCACUACUAUGAAUCAUUAUUUUUUCGGAUGUAAAUUUUAGGUAAAGAGUUACUUUUAGAUUCUGCUGGUGUAGCUUCUACGUGAGUUACUUUUAGAUUCUUGUUGAAUGUA
Brachypodium distachyon (stiff brome) is the source of this 1693-nucleotide long non-coding RNA. RefSeq lists it as uncharacterized. Lineage: Eukaryota; Viridiplantae; Streptophyta; Magnoliopsida; Poales; Poaceae. The record is from RefSeq and is a predicted model, not a curated record. The transcript is spliced from 2 exons.